CGAGCUAGGCUAGUUCAGGCGUUGGAGCUACGCGAACUCGAACACACACCUAGCCGGAACCGACGGUGAUGUUGAUGGAGAUGAAGAUAAGCUUAACGAAGUAUGUGAUCGACGAAGCCAUGACGACGAACCACAUGUCCAACGAUUCAACCGGUGGCUGGAGAUGGAAGGACGCGGUGGUAGCAAGCUAGUGAGCAGAAGUUUGUUCGAUGAGCAAGUUGGUGGAGGACAUGCAAGAGGGAACCAGUCGGUGCCCACAAACUGAUCGACGAAAUGACCCUCAAUAGCUAUGCAGUCAUUGGCUGAGCAACACUCCUUUGCUACUCAAGUUCUGCACUGCAAGUCAGAGGCAGAUCAGCUAUGAGUCGAACACCUUGCAGGACUGCAUCAUCUCCCUCAACAAGAACACCACCUCCUGCAGCCUCUAGGGGAAAGAACUGCUAGUCUGCAAUGUCCACAUGCCCCUGGAGCUGAUAAUGAACAUGAUCAGUUUGGUUCAGAUAUAGCCAUGGAUGAAAAUGAACAUAUCAAUGCUGCUGCACUCAACACCGGAGGCCCUGUUGCAAGAAAUGGUCGAAAGGUAACAAUCAAUGAACAACUUCGCAAGAGAAGGGCAAAAGGAAAACAGAUUGAUAUCAAGUUCCCUCUACAAUUUGCAAAAGUGUGUGAAAAACAUGCUAGUUUAUUUAAAAGUGAGAUUUCAGUUAUUGUAAGAACUAUACCUCUUCGAGUGAAGAAGUGGAGGGAGAUGUAGACAUCCCAUCCUGGUACCAUUGAAGAUGUUUGGCGAAAACUGAAGGGAAAAUUUCCUGAGCUUUUAGAGGAACAUAAAGGUUAUGCCAUGAGACAAAUAGAGUCUCAAUACAAUAAUAAGCGUUACCGUCUACUUCAAGCCUACCGACAAAACAAACAAAGGCCAACACAUGUUGCACCAGAAGAGUGGAGAUGGCUGAUAACAAAUUUAUGGACGGAUCCUGACUUUCAGAAAAGGAGCAACCAGAACUCUCUGAAUAGAGGGAAACAAGAGAUGAGGUCGAAAGUAGGAACAAAAUCAAUUGCUCAAAUCGCUUACGAUUUGGUGAGAACAGUUCUUUUCUUUUUGACUGGUUUAUUUGUCAAAUAAAUAUCUACUACGGUUACUUAUAUGAAUUUUUGGAUGUCCUGUUGUGGUGUCUUGGUUAUGUUUUCAUGAUUUGGGUGGAAACAAGGAAGAUCCUGCCACUCGUGCAAAGCUGCUAUCCUGAUUAUUUAGUUGCUGCAGCUCAUAAUAAGAAGUUUAUCUUCCUUAGUAGUUCCUAAAGAUGUCUCAGUAACAAUGCCAAUAUGACAUGAACUUGGUUUAAUAAAUUCUGGUUGCGAAUGUUUACUGAAAUGUAAGGUGCAGCAAUUUUUCACCUUCUGCUAGAGUACUGUGUUGUCUUUUCUUUUCAGGGUGUGAGCAAGCAAGAAAGAUUCUUUACCUUGUAAACUUCAUUAGCUCAUCUUGGUCCUGUAUUCUGUUGAUAAAUUUAUGGAACAUGUCUGCUGCAUAUACAUAGAAAUGUUAGAAUCUCUUAGUUUUUCCUCGAUGAGUGAAGUAAAGCUCAACCAUUCGGUGGCCUUCUAUUAGAGGGACCCAAAAACUGGUGCAUGGCCUACUGCUAUGCAGGUUUGGAGGGCAACAUAUCAAAUGGCCGAUGGGACUUGGUCUGUUCCAAGUGGUGAAAAAACAUUGGUAUGCUUCUUCUGCUACUGUUUAUUGGAGUACUAGCUAUUGAUUUGGUUGCUGCUGCUACUGUAUUUGUGAUCUUUGUGUUGUGUAAAGUAUCCCAAAAUUCGGAUAUGCUCUUUGUUUUUUUUUUGAAAUGAUUGAUUUCUGCCUAUCAAUUUGGAUAUCAGGGCUUGCUUGUUUUAAUUUCUGUACAUGACUUUAAUUUCUACUGUUAUGUAGUUUCUCUUCCUAUAAUUGCAUACUGAACAAUGUGUAUUGUAUUGUUUUACAGGGCAAUGCGGAUAGCCAUAGGUAGUACUCACGAAGUUCAUGCAUCAAUUCGAUAUCCAAGAGACGUGUUGUGCAUAUUUAGUUUAGAGUUUAUUGAAUUUUCAUCGGUGGUUUUAGUCAUCAUUUGGAGCUUUUAAAAUACGUGUCUUGAGAGUUAUUUUGAGGGUUGUUAGUGUUACAGUCCAUUUUUCAAAUGGAUCAGUCUAUCUCAGCGUGAGACUUAUUUAUUAGAAGUCUGUUUUUCUACAACUUUAUGUAUCGUUUGAUUGCAAAAUUUGUUAUGGCACGUGGUGAAUAUUUGUAAGAAUGAUAUUAUCAUACAGUAUUUUUGUUAUGCU
Molecule: long non-coding RNA, 2319 nt
Organism: Phragmites australis (common reed)
Lineage: Eukaryota; Viridiplantae; Streptophyta; Magnoliopsida; Poales; Poaceae
Exons: 6
Source: RefSeq, a predicted model, not a curated record